Molecule: long non-coding RNA, 202 nt
Filed under: Phascolarctos cinereus (koala)
Lineage: Eukaryota; Metazoa; Chordata; Mammalia; Diprotodontia; Phascolarctidae
Description: lncRNA (ENSPCIG00000035066.1)
Source: RNAcentral
UACGAUUAAAGUGGCCUCCAGAAUGCUGAGACCAAAAACAUAAAGCAAACCCUGGUUGGAUACACUAUUGGAGGAAACCAAAACAAACUAAACAAAAAACACGAUAUGAUCUUGAGAAAAGGAAGAAUUUUCUCUGGAGGAAAUGAGACAAAAGUGCAUAAAGGACACUGAUAUGAUUAAACAAGGAAAGGUCACUAUGGAU